This 498-nucleotide ribosomal RNA is filed under the name uncultured Glomeromycotina. RNAcentral describes it as "partial small subunit ribosomal RNA". It matches the Rfam family "Eukaryotic small subunit ribosomal RNA", at positions 591 to 1092 of the family's 1831-position model. Lineage: Eukaryota; Fungi; Glomeromycota. The record is from RNAcentral.
CCAAUAGCGUAUAUUAAAGUUGUUGCAGUUAAAAAGCUCGUAGUUGAAUUUCGGGAUCAAUACGUCGGUCGUGCUUCGGUACGUACUGGCGUCAUUGAUUUCUCCCUUCUGACGAACCACGAUGUCAUUAACUUGGUGUCAUGGGAAAUCAGGACUGUUACUUUGAAAAAAUUAGAGUGUUUAAAGCAGGCUCACGCUUGAAUACAUUAGCAUGGAAUAAUGAAAUAGGACGUUCGAUCCUAUUUUGUUGGUUUUAGGAUCAACGUAAUGAUUAAUAGGGAUAGUUGGGGGCAUUAGUAUUCAAUUGUCAGAGGUGAAAUUCUUGGAUUUAUUGAAGACUAACUACUGCGAAAGCAUUUGCCAAGGAUGUUUUCAUUAAUCAAGAACGAAAGUUAGGGGAUCGAAGACGAUCAGAUACCGUCGUAGUCUUAACCAUAAACUGUGCCGACUAGGGAUCGGAUGAUGUUAAUUUUUUAAUGACUCAUUCGGCGCCUUACG